CGGGGGAGUGAGUUUUCAUCUGGCUGGACCAGUGCCGAAGACGAUGAUGCGGAGUCUGCGUGAUAAAUACGGACUCUGGAGUGACGAAGAAAUUAUCCAAGACCCGGACUCGGGGAGACGUCGGAUUAAUACCUCGUUGAUCCCUUGGACGAAUAAGACCGCGAUUCGACGUCUUCGCGGUUGACGCAUCAGCAUCAGAAUCGACGACGCGACGUCAGCGAACAAUGCCUACUAAAUUGUGUCACGCCGAUCUCUCUCGCCGCGUGCGAAAAUCUCUACCUCUGUACAAGAGGAGACGACUCCGAGCACCUGGCGAGAGCGACAAGCGUAAUCGCAAACAACGUGCCCGAUGGAUGACCCAGCUCGCCUCGACGUCUCUCUGCGUUGCGUUAUCCGGAACCUCGGCACCAACGGCACCGUCUGCAUCCCUGCGUUUUUCGUGCGAGCAUAAGGUACAAGGCAGAAGAAGAUCCCCUCCCCCCAAUAGAGUAUCGGAAGACCUUCCGAGGUGCGACGGUUGGUUGCAUCGACGGAUCGCGGGGUGCGAUCCGAGAGCUGGAACUGCGUACCCGUGUUCCCUGCGGGGCUUGUUUGUGAAGCAGCCAAGACAAACACGUGCCUCCAGCAACGCGCUUUCCUGUGCUUACUUGUCCGUGCCCAUGCCCAUGCAGCCCGACUGUAACCGUCGUAUUGUAAAUCUUAUCCUAUGGUCACGCGGGCAUACAUCAUUGAUUCGCAUCGCCGGCGGAUCCUUCCUAUUGAUAAUGAGACUCGGACGGAUACAUCGGAUUCAACACCUGCGGCUCUCUUGCUCUUGCCCGUGUGAUUAGGGCUGUACUCUCCGGGUUAUAAUGCACCUGGAAAGGAAAUUUACCUUGCGUACAUUUGGUUUCAUCCGCAGGCUGCAAGCUGUUGCACGGACUUUGUAAUCUGAGUAUCACGUUGUAGAUUGUAACAACUCACAGCACGGAGUUUUAUCACAAACACUGUCUAUACAGUAAUGUAG
Molecule: long non-coding RNA, 1006 nt
Filed under: Neodiprion pinetum (white pine sawfly)
Lineage: Eukaryota; Metazoa; Arthropoda; Insecta; Hymenoptera; Diprionidae
Description: uncharacterized LOC124215219
Source: RNAcentral